Chiroxiphia lanceolata (lance-tailed manakin) is the source of this 669-nucleotide long non-coding RNA. RefSeq lists it as uncharacterized. NCBI's taxonomy places the organism in Eukaryota, Metazoa, Chordata, Aves, Passeriformes, Pipridae. The record is from RefSeq and is a predicted model, not a curated record. The transcript is spliced from 3 exons.
CCUCAGAAUUUGAGGUAUUCUGUCAGAAUUUCGAGAUUUCCCCCUCAGAAUUUUGGGGUUUUUCCCUCAGAAUUUGGGGGAUUUCUGUCAGAAUUUGGUGUUUCCCCUCAGAAUUCUGGGGAUUUUUAUCAGAAUUUGAGGUGUUUUUGUCAGAAUUUGGAGUUUUUUCCUCAGAAUUCGUUUUUUUCCCCUCAGAAUUUGAGGUAUUUUUGUCAGAAUUUGGUGUUUUCCCCUCAGAAUUCGGUUUUUUCCCUCAGAUUUUGAGGUAUUUCUGUCAGAAUCGGGAGUUUUCCCUCAGAAUUUGGGUAUUUUUCUCAUAAUUUUGGAGUUUUCCCUCAGAAUUCGGGUUUUUUUCCCUCAGAAUUAGGUAUUUCUGUCAGAAUUUGGGUUUUUUCCCUCAGAUUUUGAGGUAUUUCCGUCAGAAUUUGGGUUUUUCCCUCAGAUUUUGAGGUAUUUCUGUCAGAAUUUGGGUUUUCCCCUCAGAAUUUAGAGUUUUCCCCUCAGAAUUCGGGUUUUUCCCCAGAUUUGAGGUAUUUUCUCAUAAUUUGGAGUUUUCCCCUCAGAAUUUUGGGUAUUUUUCUCAUAAUUUGGAGUUUUCCCCUCAGAAUUUUGAGGUAUUUUUCUCAUAAUUUGGAGUUUUCCCCUCAGAAUUUUGAGGAUUUUUCAUAA